GGGAAUGGCGGAGAGGUUCGGGGGAAUGGAGGAGAGGUCCGGGGGACUGGAGGAGAGGUCCGGGGGAAUGGAGGAGAGGUCCGGGGGAAUGGAGGAGAGGUCCGGGGGAAUGGAGGAGAGGUCCGGGGGAAUGGAGGAGAGGUCCGGGGGAAUGGAGGAGAGGUCCGGGGGAAUGGAGGAGAGGUCCGGGGGAAUGGAGGAGAGGUCGUGGGGAAUGGUGGAGAGGUCCGGGGGAAUGGUGGAGAGGUCCGGGGCAGCUUCCGAGCCCGCAGGAAGACGUCCCGGGGGCAGGCUUUGCUGACUUCAGGCAAUGGGCAUGGCAGAACAGCCCAUAAUGGCAACAGCAGUCCGGUCUGUGAGGGUAUUGUGUCGCUGGAGCCAAGAGAAUCCAAAUACCACGGAAACCUGAGGAGACUUAAUUAGCAUGAAUUGGAUUUCCUCGCUGUGGUUCCCUGAUACUCGUAAGUUGAUGGGAGUGGAAUUUUGGUUGACCCGGUCUAUAGAGCACCCGUCCAGCAUUCUAACGUCCAUGGGAAUGGAGAGGGGCUGAAUGGAGAUGCCCAGCUCGGAUGCCAGGGAGGUGUCCAUAAAACUCUCAUCAGCCCCAGAGUCAAUGAGUACCCGGAGAGAUUUCGACUGGUCUCCCAACAGCAGGAUGGAGUGGAGAGGGGUGCGAGUAAGGGGAGA
This is a long non-coding RNA of Oncorhynchus tshawytscha (Chinook salmon), 687 nucleotides long. Lineage: Eukaryota; Metazoa; Chordata; Actinopteri; Salmoniformes; Salmonidae. The record is from Ensembl.